AGCGGCAGACGGGAGAGUAACACGUGGGAACGUGCCCUUCAGUCCGGAACAACCCAGGGAAACUUGGGCUAAUACCGGAUACGUCCGUAAGGAGAAAGAUUUAUCGCUGAAGGAUCGGCCCGCGUCUGAUUAGCUAGUUGGUGAGGUAACGGCUCACCAAGGCGACGAUCAGUAGCUGGUCUGAGAGGAUGAUCAGCCUCACUGGGACUGAGACACGGCCCAGACUCCUACGGGAGGCAGCAGUGGGGAAUUUUGCGCAAUGGGGGAAACCCUGACGCAGCAACGCCGCGUGGAGGAUGAAGUCCCUUGGGACGUAAACUCCUUUCGACCGGGACGAUACUGACGGUACCGGAAGAAGAAGCACCGGCUAACUCUGUGCCAGCAGCCGCGGUAAUACGAAGGGGGCUAGCGUUGUUCGGAAUCACUGGGCGUAAAGCGCAUGUAGGCGGGUCUUUAAGUCAGGGGUGAAAUGCCAAGGCUCAACCUUGGAACUGCCCUUGAUACUGGAGACCUUGAGUCCGGGAGAGGUGAGUGGAACUGCGAGUGUAGAGGUGAAAUUCGUAGAUAUUCGCAAGAACACCAGUGGCGAAGGCGGCUCACUGGCCCGGUACUGACGCUGAUAUGCGAAAGCGUGGGGAGCAAACAGGAUUAGAUACCCUGGUAGUCCACGCCGUAAACGAUGGAUGCUAGCCGUUAGGCAGCUUGCUGCUUAGUGGCGCAGUUAACGCUUUAAGCAUCCCGCCUGGGGAGUACGGUCGCAAGAUUAAAACUCAAAGGAAUUGACGGGGACCCGCACAAGCGGUGGAGCAUGUGGUUUAAUUCGA
This 824-nucleotide ribosomal RNA is filed under the name uncultured bacterium. Its description in RNAcentral is "bacterial SSU rRNA". It matches the Rfam family "Bacterial small subunit ribosomal RNA", at positions 94 to 954 of the family's 1533-position model. The record is from RNAcentral.